This 406-nucleotide ribosomal RNA is filed under the name uncultured bacterium. Its description in RNAcentral is "partial 16S ribosomal RNA". It matches the Rfam family "Bacterial small subunit ribosomal RNA", at positions 28 to 526 of the family's 1533-position model. The record is from RNAcentral.
GACGAACGCUGGCGGCGUGCUUAACACAUGCAAGUCGAACGAGUGGCGAACGGGUGAGUAAUACGUGAGUAACCUGCCCUCUUUUGGGGAUAAGCCUUGGAAACGGGGUCUAAUACCGCAUAAAGGGGGAUGGGCUCGCGGCCUGUUAGCUUGGUGGUGGGGUGAUGGCCUCACAAGGCGGUGACGGGUUGCCGGCCUGAGAGGGUGACCGGCCACAGUGGGACGGGGAUACGUCCCAGGCUCGUACGGGGGGGGGAAUUGGGGGAUAUGGCAGAAUGGGCGAAAGACUGAUGCCGCGACGGCGCGUGGGGGUUUAAGGCUUUAGGGUUGUAAACCUCGUGCGCUAUCUAGCGGGUAGCUGGAGAGGAAGCGCCGGCUAACUACGUGCCAGCAGCCGCGGUAAUAC